Chlorocebus sabaeus (green monkey) is the source of this 600-nucleotide non-coding RNA. The record is from the annotation of a RefSeq genome assembly. NCBI's taxonomy places the organism in Eukaryota, Metazoa, Chordata, Mammalia, Primates, Cercopithecidae.
AAAGGACUGAGCUUGCCUCUGACUGGCUAGGUAGGAACCUGAGACUAGGGGACAGAAGGACUAGAGAUUCAUCCAGUAAAGAGAGCUCACCUGUGACUGAGGAGCCUGGCUCCAUUUCAGGUCUUCUGUGAUUUCAAUAAGGAAGAAGAAUGGAAACUCUCCUGGGAGUGUCUUUGGUGAUUCUAUGGCUUCAACUGGCCAGGGUGAACAGUCAGCAAGCAGAAGAGGAUCCUCAGACCUUGAGCAUCCAGGAGGGUGAAAAUGCCACCAUGAACUGCAGCUACAAAACUAGUAUAAACAAUUUACAGUGGUAUAGACAAGAUUCAGGUAGAAGCCUUGUACAGCUAAUUUUAAUACGUUCAAAUGAAAGAGAGAAAAAUAGUGGAAGACUAAGAGUCACUCUUGACACUUCCAAGAAAAGCAGUUCCUUGUUGAUCACGGCUUCCCGGGCAGCAGACACUGCUUCUUACUUCUGUGCUACGGAUGCACAGUGUUCCCCAGGAACCUGCAGCCUCUACACAAACCCUGCCAAAGCAGCUUCUUAGAAGCCCUAACAGUGGGCAGAACUGGUGGUUAUGUCUUUCAGUGAAGAAGAAUCUA